RNAcentral lists this ribosomal RNA (271 nucleotides) under uncultured eukaryote. RNAcentral's name for it is "partial small subunit ribosomal RNA". It matches the Rfam family "Eukaryotic small subunit ribosomal RNA", at positions 1161 to 1452 of the family's 1831-position model. The record is from RNAcentral.
AGGGCACCACCAGGAGUGGAGCCUGCGGCUUAAUUUGACUCAACACGGGGAAACUCACCAGGUCCAGACACAAUAAGGAUUGACAGAUUGAGAGCUCUUUCUUGAUUUUGUGGGUGGUGGUGCAUGGCCGUUCUUAGUUGGUGGAGUGAUUUGUCUGCUUAAUUGCGAUAACGAACGAGACCUUAACCUACUAAAUAGCGCGACUAGCUUUUGCUGGUGCUGACGCUUCUUAGAGGGACUAUCGAUUUCAAGUCGAUGGAAGUUUGAGGCA